GAGGUGAACCUGCGGAAGGAAUGAUAUU
Molecule: ribosomal RNA, 28 nt
Filed under: Hyphoderma setigerum
Lineage: Eukaryota; Fungi; Basidiomycota; Agaricomycetes; Polyporales; Hyphodermataceae
Description: partial 18S ribosomal RNA
Source: RNAcentral